CCUACGGGUGGCAGCAGUGGGGAAUAUUGGACAAUGGGCGAAAGCCUGAUCCAGCCAUGCCGCGUGUGUGAAGAAGGCCUUCGGGUUGUAAAGCACUUUCAGUGGGGAAGAAAGCCUUGGGGCUAAUACCCUCGAGGAAGGACAUCACCCACAGAAGAAGCACCGGCUAACUCCGUGCCAGCAGCCGCGGUAAUACGGAGGGUGCGAGCGUUAAUCGGAAUUACUGGGCGUAAAGCGCGCGUAGGCGGUCUGAUAAGCCGGUUGUGAAAGCCCCGGGCUCAACCUGGGAACGGCAUCCGGAACUGUCAGGCUAGAGUGCAGGAGAGGAAGGUAGAAUUCCCGGUGUAGCGGUGAAAUGCGUAGAGAUCGGGAGGAAUACCAGUGGCGAAGGCGGCCUUCUGGACUGACACUGAUGCUGAGGUGCGAAAGCGUGGGUAGCAAACAGGAUUAGAUACCCUAGUAGUC
This 465-nucleotide ribosomal RNA is filed under the name Vreelandella stevensii. RNAcentral describes it as "partial 16S ribosomal RNA". It matches the Rfam family "Bacterial small subunit ribosomal RNA", at positions 338 to 795 of the family's 1533-position model. Lineage: Bacteria; Pseudomonadati; Pseudomonadota; Gammaproteobacteria; Oceanospirillales; Halomonadaceae. The record is from RNAcentral.